This 509-nucleotide ribosomal RNA is filed under the name uncultured haloarchaeon. RNAcentral's name for it is "partial 16S ribosomal RNA". The record is from RNAcentral. Lineage: Archaea; Methanobacteriati; Methanobacteriota; Halobacteria; Halobacteriales; Halobacteriaceae.
CCAGGCGGCUCRCUUCACGGGCUUCCCUACGGGCACAGCGCWGGCUCGUAGCCUGCGCCACACCUAGYGAGCAUCGUUUACGGCUAGGACUACCCGGGUAUCUAAUCCGGUUCGAGACCCUAGCUUUCGUCCCUSACCGUCGGAUCCGUCUUCCYGAGGCGCUUUCGCCACCGGCGGUCCGUCCAGGAUUACRGGAUUUCACUCCUACCCCGGACGUACCCCUCRGGUCUUCCGGCCCCAAGCCAAAURGUUUCCGCCGGACGCCCACUCGUURAGCGAGUGGAUUUCCCGACGGACUURYNYGGCCRGCUACGGACGCUUUAGGCCCAAUAAUAUCGGYCAUCACUCGAGCUGCCGGUAUUACCGCGGCGGCUGGCACCGGUCUUGCCCAGCCCUUAUUCCUGWACCACCUUACGGUACAGAAAAGCGAGGACUGUAUGCCCUCRCACUCGRDGUCCCCUUAUCGCACUSUCGUGCAGUGUAAAGGUUUCGCGCCUGCUGCACCCCGU